Molecule: ribosomal RNA, 492 nt
Filed under: uncultured bacterium
Lineage: Bacteria
Description: partial 16S ribosomal RNA
Rfam family: Bacterial small subunit ribosomal RNA
Source: RNAcentral
AGUGAACGCUGGCGGUAGGCCUAACACAUGCAAGUCGAACGGCAGCACAGUAAGAGCUUGCUCUUACGGGUGGCGAGUGGCGGACGGGUGAGGAAUACAUCGGAAUCUACUUUUUCGUGGGGGAUAACGUAGGGAAACUUACGCUAAUACCGCAUAUGACCUACGGGUGAAAGCAGGGGAUCUUCGGACCUUGCGCGAUUGAAUGAGCCGAUGUCGGAUUAGCUAGUUGGCGGGGUAAAGGCCCACCAAGGCGACGAUCCGUAGCUGGUCUGAGAGGAUGAUCAGCCACACUGGAACUGAGACACGGUCCAGACUCCUACGGGAGGCAGCAGUGGGGAAUAUUGGACAAUGGGCGCAAGCCUGAUCCGGCCAUACCGCGUGGGUGAAGAAGGCCUUCGGGUUGUAAAGCCCUUUUGUUGGGAAAGAAAAGCAGCAGGUUAAUACCCCGCUGUUCUGACGGUACCCAAAGAAUAAGCACCGGCUAACUUCGUG